CCCCUUUUAAAAGCACUCGGUGGGCCUUUACUAAUGACCUGCUGAGCCGUCAAGGAAGGGGAGAGUAAAAACACUGCUUUUGGGUGAAGCAGCAGCAUGUUGUGUUGUUUUGCUUCAAUCGGUGGUGUGACAACG
Molecule: small nucleolar RNA, 135 nt
Filed under: Ailuropoda melanoleuca (giant panda)
Lineage: Eukaryota; Metazoa; Chordata; Mammalia; Carnivora; Ursidae
Source: RNAcentral